GACGAACGCUGGCGGCGUGCUUAACACAUGCGAGUCGAACGGAAAGGCCCUGCUUUUGUGGGGUGCUCGAGUGGCGAACGGGUGAGUAACACGUGAGUAACCUGCCCUUGACUUUGGGAUAACUUCAGGAAACUGGGGCUAAUACCGGAUAGGAGCUCCUGCUGCAUGGUGGGGGUUGGAAAGUUUCGGCGGUUGGGGAUGGACUCGCGGCUUAUCAGCUUGUUGGUGGGGUAGUGGCUUACCAAGGCUUUGACGGGUAGCCGGCCUGAGAGGGUGACCGGCCACAUUGGGACUGAGAUACGGCCCAGACUCCUACGGGAGGCAGCAGUGGGGAAUACUGCACAAUGGGCGGAAGCCUGAUGCAGCAACGCCGCGUGCGGGAUGACGGCCUUCGGGUUGUAAACCGCUUUCGCCUGUGACGAAGCGUGAGUGACGGUAAUGGGUAAAGAGGCACCGGCUAACUACGUG
Molecule: ribosomal RNA, 468 nt
Filed under: uncultured bacterium
Lineage: Bacteria
Description: partial 16S ribosomal RNA
Rfam family: Bacterial small subunit ribosomal RNA
Source: RNAcentral